UACCGGAUGGCAUAAUUAUUCCGCAUGGGAUAAUUAUUAAAGAAUUUCGGUUGUCGAUGGGGAUGCGUUCCAUUAGGCAGUUGGCGGGGUAACGGCCCACCAAGCCUACGAUGGAUAGGGGUUCUGAGAGGAAGGUCCCCCACAUUGGAACUGAGACACGGUCCAAACUCCUACGGGAGGCAGCAGUGAGGAAUAUUGGUCAAUGGACGAGAGUCUGAACCAGCCAAGUAGCGUGAAGGAUGACUGCCCUAUGGGUUGUAAACUUCUUUUAUACGGGAAUAAAGUGAGCCACGUGUGGCUUUUUGUAUGUACCGUAUGAAUAAGGAUCGGCUAACUCCGUGCCAGCAGCCGCGGUAAUACGGAGGAUCCGAGCGUUAUCCGGAUUUAUUGGGUUUAAAGGGAGCGUAGGCGGGUUGUUAAGUCAGUUGUGAAAGUUUGCGGCUCAACCGUAAAAUUGCAGUUGAUACUGGCGACCUUGAGUGCAACAGAGGUAGGCGGAAUUCGUGGUGUAGCGGUGAAAUGCCUAGAUAUCACGAAGAACUCCGAUUGCGAAGGCAGCUUACUGGAUUGUAACUGACGCCGAUGCUC
Molecule: ribosomal RNA, 588 nt
Filed under: uncultured bacterium
Lineage: Bacteria
Description: bacterial SSU rRNA
Rfam family: Bacterial small subunit ribosomal RNA
Source: RNAcentral